This 9749-nucleotide long non-coding RNA is filed under the name Sus scrofa (pig). RNAcentral's name for it is "lncRNA (ENSSSCG00035026538.1)". Lineage: Eukaryota; Metazoa; Chordata; Mammalia; Artiodactyla; Suidae. The record is from RNAcentral.
GGAUCCAGUGGCCAUUCCGCUCUUCCCCCAGGGCGCCCCGAGUCUGGUAGUCAUUAAAAAGACAUAGCCCUUUAAAAGUGUGACACCGUCUUCCUUAAAGAGCCUGAAGCAAUGGCCCCAAAGAUAUCAGGACUCCACCUCCAGGACCUGAGACGGUGACCUUAUUGGGGAAAGAACUUUUUGUAGACUGUUGCCUUCAGAGCUCAGCCUUGCCUGAAAUCCAUCCACUCAAGAGCAGGUUCGCAAAGGGGAAAUGAAGGUCCACGGCAGAACGUGAAGAGGAAAAUGCUUUUCCAAACCCAGGCUGAGGACUGAGCCACGAGGUUGCCUGAUCUUCCCAGGUCCUCGUUCCUGAAUCCUGAUGGCCCAGGCAGUGCCUCUCCACCCAGCCCCCCGCCUGCCCAGACUCUGCCUCGGAACUAGAAGACUCUUCAAAAGAAAAAAGGGUGAAGCGAGCCAUGAGCAGAGGCUGGAAACAAAUAGUCCCCCUUUAGAUGUAGGUCAGCACUUCUCCACUGGCCCAACGCACACCGUCCCCCGUCCAGGAGGCGUGUCUGUUCAGCGGCACUAGCACCUCGCCCCAGCCCCUGCCGAAGGCAUCAAGCGUGGGCGAGGUCAGCCUCAAAAAUGAUUCUCCAAACGCGUUGGAUCUCCAGAUGCCUUCCGCGUAGAAAGCUAGGAUUCAUUUAUGAACAACCCGAAUCCGUUUCCCUGUAGGAGCAAAGGAGAAGAACGUGUCGUCUCCUCCAGACGGGGACACGGAGAACGGGGUGGCGUGAGGUCCCCUCUCAGAGGGGACGCGGGUCCUUUGGAAGAUGUGUCCUCGCCGUCUCCAGGGAACUGGAGGGGUGUCAGCUCCUCUGAAGCGAGUAUGCUGGUAAACGGAGAAUUUUCAAAGAAUUGGCUUUUUAAACAUUCAGUACCCAACGCGUUGAUGGACAAGUUCCACGUCAACUCAGUUGAAACGGCCAGCCUCCGACUGUCGGGUUGCUUGAUGUGACAAACCCAGCUCUAUGGCUGUGGCUGUAGACGGAGACGCUCACGUAAUGUGGGACGCGUGUUGGAUGCGGUGACUCUGCCACCUCUCGGUCUUUCGUAUCUGUCAGUCAUCCAUCUGCUGUCGUGGGUCACAUCUAUCCGUCUUUCAUCUCCCCAUGGCUCUAUCCCAUCUCCACUCUUCCAUCGCUCAGGAGCUGUGUAUCUAAUAUCAUCUGUCCACCCCCCAUCAUUGAUCUGCUCCAACAUCUCUCUACCACUGAUUGCAUCUGUAAGUCAUUCUUCUAUUUAUCUAUCAUUUUAUCUAUGUAUAUGUCUGUCCAUCCGGCCAAAAUAUCUAUUUAUCUAUCAACUGUCCAUCCAUCUUAUCUGUCUACCUAUUUCUCUAUCUUUUUAUCCAUCUAUCCAUCUCUAUCUAUAAUCGCUGUAUCCAUCUGUAUGUCUGUCUGUCUGUCCAUCCAUCCAUCAUAUCUUUCUGUCUGUCUGUCUUUCUAUCAUUGAUGUCUACUGUCUCUCAUCUAUGUCUGUCUGUCUCUCUAUCUAUCAUCUAUCUGUGUCUAUCAUCGAUCCAAUCAAUCAUUCACAGACGAUGCCCUCACUCAUUCUGCUGUUACCCUCGUUCUUCCAAUGAAAACCCACCUGAUGAAACCCUUAGUUACCUGAGGAAGGGCUGCAGCCCUAGAGAUGGAGCUGAGACGUGGCCCUUCCUACCUCUUUCCUGAAAGUGAUGUGACUCCCGGCCAGUUACGUUUGACCUGCUUCAGGGUCAUGGUUACACGUAUUCGCUCACGUACACAACCGUAGUCAUUGGUGUCGUGGGUCCAUAGACUACUCUGCGGUAACUCAGGCAGCGUUGUCAGUUUGGGUAUUUCAUUUUAUUCCCCCUUAUUAUUGUUGUGUAGAGUCCUUGCAGACACCUGUUGAGCACACGUUUGAAUGUGGGAAACACUUCUCUCUGAUGGAGCACGGGAGGUGAAUUGCAUAUGUGUGAGCUUCCUAGGCACAAGCAUCCUUGGACACUGGAGAUUUACAGGAUCGGCGGCUUCUGGGGAAGCUCAUGGGAGCCCACAUCAGUGGGCUGUUACCUGGGACCAGAACUUCUCCUCAUGGCUGAAUCAGGUCCCGUGUUUUGCUGUGGACGUAGCCGUCUGUUACCUCGGAUGUGUGUGAACUAUUUGACCUGCUCUGGAUGCUGUUCACACCGCAAUUCAUGUUGCCGUCACUCCCUCCAGGAGAUAAGAUGCAAAGGAAUCGGUUUCACCGUGGGACACAGCCCAGGGCUCAGAGCUCCAUUGCCAUGGCAGAUAAAGAUCCAGAGAGGAAACAUCGGGGCUGUACCCGUGGACUCAAGGACUCAGCUCUGCCCUGCGGUGGGCACGCAGAUGGACAUAGCCUCGACGGGUGGACGUGGUUGUGGGCGCGUGACAUGGUACGUAUGUGACUUUUCCAUGAUUUUCAAGUAUCGCAGAAUAUAGUUCUUUUGGACUUUUGUCCCAACCAUUUAAAAAAUGUAUAAUUAUUCUUAGCUCAUGUACAAAAACAGGCAAUUGGCAAGAUCUGAUCUAUAGGUCAAUGAUGGCCAUUAUCAAGUAUAGGUGACCUCACUUUGUCAGGCAAACAGAACCGAUACGAAAUCUGUCUAAUCUGCCUAGCUAUGUAGCUGUCUGUCUGUCUGCCUGCCUAUCAGUCGAUCGAUUUAUCAUUCCAGCUCUCGGUCUAUAUAUAUGUCUCUUUUUCUUUUCUUUUUUNUUUUUUUUUGUCUUUUUGCCAUUUCUUGGGCCGCUCCCGUGGCAUCUGGAGGUGGCUACGGCUCCAGUUAGAGCUGGGAACCUCCAUGUGCCGCGGAACCUCCAUGUGCCACGAGUGUGGCCCUAAAAAGACAAAAAAAAAAAAAAAAAUCCGUGCACCCCUGUGUUCAUUGCAGCACUAUUCACAAUAGCCUGGGAACCUCCAUAUGCCACGGGUGUGGCCCUAAAAAGACAAAAAAAAGGAAAAGAAAUGGAUGAUGGAGACAUGAUGAUGAAUAGAUGAUAAGUAGAUAGAUAGAGACAGAUGAUAUGCAGAUAAUGAAUAGAAUGACAGACAAUAGAUGCUCGCUCGCUGGGUGGGCAGACAUGGCAGCAGAUGGAUAGCAGGCUCUGCUUCUGUAUCUCUCCGUCUCCUCUCCUUUCUCUUCCUCGGGAGAGACCAGACAGCACCUGGCCCAGAGAACACGAGCCCCAGCAGAACCCGAGCCCCGCUCCCAUGUGGCUCAGGGCAGAGUUCAUUCCCAGGCGUGGUCCCCACACUAGGACUGAACUCUUUCAGUAACUGCUGGCCCAGCGCCCAACCUCGGGGGCCACGUCUAGACAGGUCUGGUUUCCGGCAUCUGAGCCAAGCACGUGCUCGGGUGUUCUGGCGGCCCCCACCCUGGCCUGCGCAACGCUCUAAAUACCUGUGGUCUAUGAACCGGGAGUCAAGAUAAGUAGGAUGUUAUGGAAACGUCUAAGCUUCCGAUGCUGCAUGGGGUUUUCAGGCUGUGCCGUCGGGUCUCAGGUGGCGAAGAGUAUUGGGAGGGGUCAGCGCCUCUGGGCAACUCCUGUCCAUUCUUGUUAAGUUCUGUUUCACACCCCCGCUGAGAUGGGUUUGCAUCCCCUCAGGUCAUGCUGCCCCACAGGCGUCAUUUGUAGGGACCUGGGAAGCUGCCCGUAGUCGUCACCAGGCAGGGGUCUUGGCAGAUCCCGGCAGCCUCUGGGGGCCUGGCUCUGUCUGCAGUGUCAGGAGGCUGGGAAGUUGCUCCAAGCCAUUGUGGGAACCUCGGUGCCUCCAUCAAGCAGCAUGGCCAUCUGUGUUCCUCCGUGACCAUGGCGUGGCUUCGUUUUUUUCGCCCAGCAAUUCGCGGGAUGGACACACCCCUCAGGAAUCUGGUCCCUCCCUCUUCCCCGUGGGUAAUUCAGAAACGAGGAGUUCCCAUCAUGGUCCAGUGGUUACAAACCCGACCAGUAUCCAUGAGGACAUCAGUUCGAUCCCUGGCACCUCUCAGAGGAAGAAGGAUCUGGCGUUGCUAUGGCUGUCGUGUACACCUGCAGCUGCAGCUCCGAUUCGACCCCAAGCCCGGGAACGUCUGUAUGCCGCAGGUGCAGCCCCUAAAAAGCAAACUAAAUUAACAAAUGAAAAAGGAUCCUUGUCGUUGACUUAGCAUUCAGGAAAAAGAAGGUUAUCUGUGUGCCUGUUUAGAGCAAUACCUCCAAGCCUUUCAGGAUACGCCAGAGGGACGUUUCUUUCCCCAGAGUCAGCCCCUCUCCCUGGCUCCCAUCCACCAGCCAUCGCGUCUCUUCUUCUAUUUCCAAACACUCAUAUAUGCCAGGUGGGCCAAGUGGGUGGACACGCCUGGGUACCCCUCUCUGUACAUUCCUCAGGCUCUGACUUCACUCCGCAGCCCUUUCCUAAGGAAAGGCUGGCCUCUCCAAAAAUCACACAGGCGCGAGGACUCAUCCCCGUUACCGUUUGGAAAACGGUCUGUGGGUGUUGGGACGUGCUCUGCCGGUGCUCAGCUCGCAAAAAUCCCACCGUCUGUUCCAGGAUCCUGUCCUGGACUCGCCCCGCUGGUGGAGGUGCCUUCUCUGAGUCUCCCGGGUACGGGGCCAGCGGCCGCCCCCAGUGAAAUGAACUGAUGUCUGUGGACUCGGGCCAGGCCAGUGAGGCACGAGGAAGGCUGCAACUAUUUGCAGAGAACGUGCCCUGUGCAGCUCCCUAAAUAGCCGGGGUUGGGAAGAGCCGGAAGCUGGGGUCCGUGAUGGCCAGCAUGAGGCGUCAAGGAGGUUGCUGUCCCCAGGCGUCCCUGGUGGUCCCAGAAUUCUUCACAAAGACAGUGAUGCCUGGGGCCAGGUUCGCUGGUGGCAGGACCCCGCGGGGAGGGGUCCACGUGGGAGACAUCUCCUUGCGACUCACGCCCCCAGGUGUGUCUGGUCGCAGCUGGAUCAUGACACGCCAACGUGGAAGUCCUUGACGGUGAGAACCUGGAGCCAUCGUCGCCGGGUGAGACGGAAGGGACACCGCCAUGCUUUGCGCGCAGCAGUUUCAAGGCGCAGAAGGCAAACGGGAUGCCCACGUGAAACUAUGCUGCAGCAGUGCCCGCAAAUGUGCCCGGGCUCGCACAGGAUUCCGACGUGGCAAGUCCCAGGUGCGGCUGGAGCCCGUCCAUUUGUGCCUGGCGCCCAGGUGAUCCUGCUGGUGGUGGGAGCGCCUCUAGAGAUGUGUUCUAGUGGCCUGGCGUCAUAGCCACUAGCCAUCCAUGGCUAACUAAAUGGCGUAAAAUAAAGGCAAAUCUAAAACCUUACUUCUUUGGUCCUAUGAGCUACAUUUCAAGUGCCAGGCAGCUGCCAUAUGGAUAGUACAGCAGAGAACAUUCUUCUGUCAUUGCAGAAAGUUCUACCAAACUCUGCUAGGGUAGGGCGUUCCUGCUAUGGCUCAGGGGGUUAGGAAACUGACUAGUACCCAUGAGGAUGUGGGUUCAAUCCCUGGCCUCACUCAGUGGGUCAGGGAUCUAGCAUUGUCAUAAGCUAGACAUGUGUUGGUCGCAGACACUUCUCAGAGUCAGCAUUGCUGUGGCUGUGAAGUAGACCAGCAGCUGCAGCUCCGAUUCCACCCCUAGCCUGGGAACUUCCAUUUGCUGCAGGUGCAGCCCCUAAAAAAGCAAAACAAACAAACAAAAAAAAAACUGUGUUCGUCUAGAGGCUGGCUGUCACGCAGGAACGUCUAGUUACCACGGGGUUAAUAGGUUUUAAUGUUUGGAGUGUUUUUUAUCAUAAGAUGCUAAGGGGCGUGGUACCUCCAUAAGAUUCUGAACACUGGUGUAAUGCCUUUUAUAAUCAGGGCACACAUACACCCUCCCUCAGAAUGCAAGGCUCCCUCGAUGAUCGAAAAGCCAGGCUUUCAUUUCCCUAUGAAAGCCUGAAACAUCCCCCCAGUUGCCAUAUUUCCGGAUAGGUUCGUGUGUGCGCACUCGCAGGCUCUAAUGCAGGAGAGCUGUACACAUCGACAGCUGCCGGGAUACCCCGUCUGCCUCCUCUCAUGUUUUCUUAGCCUUAUUUUCCAUUCUCUAGAGGAGCCAGAGACACGCAGAAUGAGGUUUCUCCUGAGCAGGAAGCGUGCCCGUGAGCAACCAGCUGAGAAGUCGACCCAUCACAUGUGAAAAUGAGAAAGUCCCGUCGAGGCCAGACCCCGCUGUCCUUGGAAAGGUGCGCAAUUGAUCCAGUUCAGACGUCGGGGGCUGUCUUGGUGUUGAGUUGAUUUCUUCCAAGGGGUGAGGGAGCAAUUCAGGUUCCCUGCCCAGCGGGUGCUCUGCCUCCCUAGUUCCGGAGGCUGGACUUUCAAGACCUGCUGAGAGCCAUCUUCCUGGUUCAUCAAUGGACGUUCUCUCCAUCAGGACAGAGACAAGACAGUUCCUUCUUACCCGUGAGAGAUACAUGUAUUGUCCAUGACUCCGCAGGAAAUUGAUUUCCCCAACCCGAUGCAGAGAUGGGGAAGGGGGGAGCCAAAAGAAGGGUUUGCUGUCCAUCUUUGGCGCCAGAGGAGAAGUCAGCCCCCAGAAGCUAAGCACUGAGAAGUCCAGUCUUCCACAUCCAGGGGUUUCCAGAUUCCCACUCGUGUAAGAAAUGCAGCGUGAUGUCCCAGUUUUCGUGCUUUUCUUGAGAUGUGGUCCCCUUGGAGGAGCUUCCCCCGCCAGGAUGGAAUUUCAGAGCUUUCGGCUCGAGAAGAAGGGAAAUGCCCCGAACAGCCACCCCCCAGGCCCCUUGUGGCCGCUGAGAAGUUGGGGAGGAUGCAGCCAUAAAGGAGGAUGUGAAAAGUAGGCGCGAUCGCAAGGCACGAAUCUCGGAAUCUUCGUGUUUCAUCGGGAAGGCAGAGGAGGAAGGAAUCUGCGAGGUGCAGCCGCCUCUUCUGACCUCAGGAUGGACGGAGAGGGCGUGAAGGACCCGUCAGUGACCAGCUGUUGCACAGAGAGCCCAGGGGAAGGGGGUGCCCUGGCGGGCACAUGGGAACCGAUGCUGCGGCUCACGAGAAGUUGGAGGAACAAACUGCUUUGUCCCAGGAGAAGAGGAGCAGGAUGGAACAGAUGCCCGCUGUAAUCGUGGGCGGAACCGGAGGGACGGACGCAACGCUUGGCGCUUCCGAUUCUGACAGUGGCUGACCUCGCGGGAGAUGGAUGCAGGAGGGUCCAGAUGUUCCGAUGAGGAAACGGAGGCCACUAAGUGUUGUGUAACGUCCCAAGGGGACCCAGCUCUGAAGCGGUGGAGUCAGAAUGGGUUGCUUAACAGCCACCCCCACCCUCGGCUCGGAAGACGUCCACACCCAGGUAUGAAAAUGCCCUGUGGGAGUGUCUGUUGCUGCUCAGUGGGUUAAGAACCCAACAUAGCGUCCGUCCAAGGGAUGCGGGUUUGAUCCCUGGCCUCGCUCGGCGAGUUAAGGAUCUGGUGUUGCCACAGGCUGUGGUGUAGGUCACAGGUGCGGCUCGGAGCCUAUGUUUCGGUGGCUGUGGUGUAGACUGGCAGCUGCAGCACUGAUUCGACCCCUAGCUCGGGAACUUCCAUGUGCUGCGGGGGUGGCCCUGAAAAGAAAAUAAAAAAGAAAGAAAGCAAAUGCCCUGUGGAAUGACCACAUGAUAGUGACACAGUCUCGUGGCCUUUCUCUUGGGAACAGGCACACCUCCUUCCGAGCCACCUAAGUUCCUGCCUCUUGACUUUCUAGACACCCUUCACUGUUUAAAGGGGGGAGAACAAUAAGAAGACAAAGCAAAUGCUCCUUUUUUGGGUCCUUUUUAAAACAUUUAUUGACAUAGAGCUGAUAUAUCAGCUUGUGAUCAUCUCUGCGAUACAACAAACUCACGAGCUCCUGUUAUUUGUAGACUUUUUGAUGAUGGCCAUUCUGACUGGUGCAAGGUGGUCCCUCAGUGUAACUUUGAUUCGCAUUUCUCUAAUAAUAAGCGAUGGGGAGCAUCCUUUCAUAUGCUUGUUCUUUGGAGAAACGUCUGUUCAGGUCUUCUGCCCAUCUUUUGAUUGGGUUGUUUGGCUUUUUUGAUAUCAAGCUUCACGGGUUGUUUGUGCCUUUUGGAGAUUAGUCCCUUGUGUGUCACUUCAUUUGCAAAUGUUUUCAGCCAUUUCGUGAGUGGCCUUUUUGUUUCGUUUGAUUUCCUUGGCUGUGCAAAUGUGUUUAAGUUUAUGUAGGUCCCAUGUGUUUCUGUUUUUAUUUUCAUUACUCUAAGCAGUGGAUCCAAAAAGAAAUUGCUGCAGAUUAUGUCAAAGAAUGUUCUGCCUCUGUUCUCCUCCAGGAGUUUAAUCAUAUCUGGUCUUACAUUUAGGUCUUUAAUCCAUUUUGAGUUUAUUUUCCUGUAUGAUAUUAGAGAAAGCUGGGAGUUCCUGUCGGGGUUCAGUGGAACUGAAUCCAACUAGGAACCGUGAGGUUGCAGAUUCAAUCCCUGGCCUCGCUCAGUGGGUUAAGGAUCUGGUGUGGCCGUGAGCUGUGGUGUAGGUCGCAGACAUGGCUUGGAUCUGGCAUUGCUGUGACUCUGGCAUAGGAGGGCAGCUAUACCUCCAAUUAGACCCAUAGCCUGGGAACCUCCAUGUGCUGCGGUGCGGUCCUAAAAAGACGGAAAGACAGAGAAUGCUAUCAUUUCAUUCUUUUGCAUGGAGCUGUCCAGUUUUCCCAGCACCACUUAUUGAAGAGCCUGUCUUUUCUCCAUUGUAUAUUCUUGCCUCCUUUGUCAUAAAUUAAUUGUCCGUAGGUGUGCGGGUUUAUCCUGUUCCAUUAAUCCACAUUUCUGAUUUGCGUCAGUGCCAUACUGUUUUGAUGACUCUAGUUCUGUGAUAUAAUCUGAUGUCAGGGAGCCUGAUUCCCCCGGUUCUGUUUCUUUUUCAGGAUGGCUUUGGCUGUUUGGGCUCUUAUGUGUUUCCAUAUAAAUUUAAAAAUAUUUUGUUCUAGUUCUGUUAAAAAAUGUCAAGGCAAUCUACAGUCUCAAUUCAUUAGUUUCUUAGAUCCGAGGCACAGGUCCAUAAAUGCCUAACAACAGAGACAGACCAGCAAAAUGUUCAUGCAGUUUAGAUUCUGAGAACUUGACUUGUGUUUUUAUUCUAGGUUUUGAUUCAUAUUUUUUCAAAAAAUCAGAGUUUAGAAUUUGUGACAAAUUGGCAGUGUUGUGUUGUGACUCAGUGGGUUACGAAUCUGAUUAGUAUCCAUGAGGGAUGCAGGUUCAAUCCCUGUCCUUGCUCAGUGGGUCAAGGAUCCUGCAUUGCCAUGAUCUGUGGUGUAGGUCACAGAUGCUGUCUGGAUCUGGCAUUGCUGUGGUUAGUAUAGGCUGGCAGCUGCAGUUCUGAUUCAGCCUAGGAACGUCCAUGUGCUGAGGGUGCAGCCCUAGGGGGAAAAAAAAAAAGAAUUUGGGACAGGUUGGGAUGGGUCAUGAAGGAAAAGACCCCACAAUCUAUAUCCAGCACACAGCAGGGUUUCCAUGCAGAAGACAGUGUUGUCAGCACAGAGAUUCAGUUAAAAAAUGGAGGUUUUGAGAAACUCUCUCUCUGCUCACUCAGGAGUGUUAUCCUGAGACAGAUCCCAAAGAUGAAAAUAAAGCAGCUCAUUCUGAGCAACAAAGGCCACGUGAAAAUGAAAACGAGUUCCCUGGUGGCUCAGCUGGUUAAGAACCCAGUGUUGUCACUGCUGUGGCUCGAGUUCGAUCCCUGGCCCAGGAACUUCUGCAUGCCAUAGGUGUGGCCAAAAGGAAAAAA